This 70-nucleotide transfer RNA is filed under the name Bos taurus (domestic cattle). It matches the Rfam family "tRNA". Rfam says of the family: Transfer RNA (tRNA) molecules are approximately 80 nucleotides in length. Their secondary structure includes four short double-helical elements and three loops (D, anti-codon, and T loops). Lineage: Eukaryota; Metazoa; Chordata; Mammalia; Artiodactyla; Bovidae. RNAcentral also lists the same sequence under 2 other names. The record is from Rfam by way of RNAcentral.
UCUCUGGUGGCUCAGUGGUAAAGAACUUGCCUGCAAUGCAGAAGACCCAGGUUCGAUCCUGGGUUGGGAA